RNAcentral lists this ribosomal RNA (305 nucleotides) under uncultured bacterium. RNAcentral's name for it is "bacterial SSU rRNA". It matches the Rfam family "Bacterial small subunit ribosomal RNA", at positions 333 to 655 of the family's 1533-position model. The record is from RNAcentral.
UGACGCCUACGGGAGGCAGCAGUGGGGAAUAUUGCACAAUGGGGGAAACCCUGAUGCAGCAACGCCGCGUGAGUGAAGAAGUAUUUCGGUAUGUAAAGCUCUAUCAGCAGGGAAGAGAAUGACGGUACCUGACUAAGAAGCCCCGGCUAACUACGUGCCAGCAGCCGCGGUAAUACGUAGGGGGCGAGCGUUAUCCGGAUUUACUGGGUGUAAAGGGAGCGUAGACGGCAGCGCAAGUCUGGAGUGAAAUGCCGGGUCCCAACCCCGGAACUGCUUUGGAAACUGUGCGGCUCGAGUGUGGGAGG